GACGAACGCUGGCGGCGUGCUUAACACAUGCAAGUCGAACGGUGAAGGGACCGGUUUUUGCUGGUUCUGGAUGAGUGGCGAACGGGUGAGUAACACGUGAGUAACCUGCCCCCUUCUUCUGGAUAACCGCAUGAAAGUGUGGCUAAUACGGGAUAUUCUGCGCCUGCUGCAUGGUGGGUGUGGGAAAGAUAUUGUUUCGGUGGGGGAUGGGCUCGCGGCCUAUCAGCUUGUUGGUGGGGUGAUGGCCUACCAAGGCGGUGACGGGUAGCCGGCCUGAGAGGGUGGACGGUCACACUGGGACUGAGACACGGCCCAGACUCCUACGGGAGGCAGCAGUGGGGAAUAUGGCACAAUGGGCGCAAGCCUGAUGCAGCGACGCCGCGUGAGGGAUGGAGGCCUUCGGGUUGUAAACCUCUUUCGCCAGUGAAGCAGGCCUGUCCCUUUUGUGGGUGGGUUGACGGUAGCUGGAUAAGAAGCGCCGGCUAACUACGUG
This 493-nucleotide ribosomal RNA is filed under the name uncultured bacterium. Its description in RNAcentral is "partial 16S ribosomal RNA". It matches the Rfam family "Bacterial small subunit ribosomal RNA", at positions 28 to 507 of the family's 1533-position model. The record is from RNAcentral.